RNAcentral lists this long non-coding RNA (691 nucleotides) under Homo sapiens (human). RNAcentral's name for it is "non-protein coding lnc-AKR1C2-10:1". Lineage: Eukaryota; Metazoa; Chordata; Mammalia; Primates; Hominidae. The record is from RNAcentral.
UGAUGAAAGAUUUAGACGAAAGACAUUAAUUGCUCAGAUACAGUUUAUUUAGAUGUUGGUGAAUGUUUUAAUUGAGUCUUUCAUCAUAUCUUUUUUGAUAGCAUGGGAAAAGCUGGAAACCAUCAUUCUCAGCAAACUAUCACAAGGACAAAAAACCAAACACCGCAUGUUCUCACUCAUAGGUGGGAAUUGAACAAUGAGAACACAUGGACACAGGAAGGGGAACAUCAUGCACCGGGGACGGUUGUGGGAUUUUUCAAUCCUCAUUGGGUUUUUUCAAAGAGUUCAGAAUUUUAGGGGUGUGUGAAAGUUCUUUGACAUCACAAUGUGAUGAAAGCACUCUUUACUUUAGUCUCUGUCAAGAUGUGGAAUGAACCAGGGAGUUCCCAGGGUCUGCUCUUCCACUGGGGAGUGGAAGAGAGAUAUCCUGUUCAAGGCUGGUUCAGCCACCAGCUAGAUUGUUACAUUAAAAAUAGGGACUCCAGGGGGAAAUUUUGAGCUCAAAAGGUCUCUAUCUCAUGGCUUUAUACUGCAUUUAGGAAGCAAUAUAUAAAAUACAUUGUAAAAAUUUCUAGCACAUUUUUUGGAUCUUUUUAUAGCACUUAGCACUACAUGCCAGUAAUAAAUAUGUUUACGUCCCUAUCAUUUCCUCUACAAGGGUAUAGGGGCUUACUGUUAGUGUUUUUGAUUC